AUGAAUACUUCUAGCUUUUUCUUCAGAUCUUCAUUCUUCUCUAUUCAUCUUCUAGCUCCAUGUUUUUGGUCAUCACCUUCUUCAUGUCUAUCAUGCUGGCAAACAUCUGGUUCUCCUGUCGACGAAUGUGUUGGUUCAACUCCUGGAUGUAGGGUGCAAUGUAUUUGUCCCUCCUGGUGUUGA
RNAcentral lists this ribosomal RNA (183 nucleotides) under Triticum aestivum (bread wheat). RNAcentral describes it as "partial small subunit ribosomal RNA". The record is from RNAcentral. Lineage: Eukaryota; Viridiplantae; Streptophyta; Magnoliopsida; Poales; Poaceae.